RNAcentral lists this ribosomal RNA (253 nucleotides) under uncultured bacterium. RNAcentral's name for it is "partial 16S ribosomal RNA". It matches the Rfam family "Bacterial small subunit ribosomal RNA", at positions 524 to 776 of the family's 1533-position model. The record is from RNAcentral.
UACGUAGGUGGCAAGCGUUGUUCGGAAUUACUGGGCGUAAAGCGCGCGUAGGCGGCUCUUCAAGUCAGGCGUGAAAGCCCCGGGCUUAACUCGGGAACUGCGCUUGAUACUGUCGAGCUAGAGUGUGGAAGGGGCGAUUGGAAUUCCGUGUGUAGCGGUGAAAUGCGUAGAUAUACGAAGGAACACCAGAGGCGAAGGCGGAUCGCUGGGCCAACACUGACGCUGAUGUGCGAAAGCUAGGGGAGCAAACGGG